GGGUUGUGAGGUUAAGCGACUAAGCGUACACGGUGGAUGCCCUGGCAGUCAGAGGCGAUGAAGGACGUGCUAAUCUGCGAUAAGCGUCGGUAAGGUGAUAUGAACCGUUAUAACCGGCGAUUUCCGAAUGGGGAAACCCAGUGUGUUUCGACACACUAUCAUUAACUGAAUCCAUAGGUUAAUGAGGCGAACCGGGGGAACUGAAACAUCUAAGUACCCCGAGGAAAAGAAAUCAACCGAGAUUCCCCCAGUAGCGGCGAGCGAACGGGGAGCAGCCCAGAGCCUGAAUCAGUGUGUGUGUUAGUGGAAGCGUCUGGAAAGGCGCGCGAUACAGGGUGACAGCCCCGUACACAAAAAUGCACAUGCUGUGAGCUCGAUGAGUAGGGCGGGACACGUGGUAUCCUGUCUGAAUAUGGGGGGACCAUCCUCCAAGGCUAAAUACUCCUGACUGACCGAUAGUGAACCAGUACCGUGAGGGAAAGGCGAAAAGAACCCCGGCGAGGGGAGUGAAAAAGAACCUGAAACCGUGUACGUACAAGCAGUGGGAGCACGCUUAGGCGUGUGACUGCGUACCUUUUGUAUAAUGGGUCAGCGACUUAUAUUCUGUAGCAAGGUUAACCGAAUAGGGGAGCCGAAGGGAAACCGAGUCUUAACUGGGCGUUAAGUUGCAGGGUAUAGACCCGAAACCCGGUGAUCUAGCCAUGGGCAGGUUGAAGGUUGGGUAACACUAACUGGAGGACCGAACCGACUAAUGUUGAAAAAUUAGCGGAUGACUUGUGGCUGGGGGUGAAAGGCCAAUCAAACCGGGAGAUAGCUGGUUCUCCCCGAAAGCUAUUUAGGUAGCGCCUCGUGAAUUCAUCUCCGGGGGUAGAGCACUGUUUCGGCAAGGGGGUCAUCCCGACUUACCAACCCGAUGCAAACUGCGAAUACCGGAGAAUGUUAUCACGGGAGACACACGGCGGGUGCUAACGUCCGUCGUGAAGAGGGAAACAACCCAGACCGCCAGCUAAGGUCCCAAAGUCAUGGUUAAGUGGGAAACGAUGUGGGAAGGCCCAGACAGCCAGGAUGUUGGCUUAGAAGCAGCCAUCAUUUAAAGAAAGCGUAAUAGCUCACUGGUCGAGUCGGCCUGCGCGGAAGAUGUAACGGGGCUAAACCAUGCACCGAAGCUGCGGCAGCGACGCUGAUGCGUUGUUGGGUAGGGGAGCGUUCUGUAAGCCUGCGAAGGUGUGCUGUGAGGCAUGCUGGAGGUAUCAGAAGUGCGAAUGCUGACAUAAGUAACGAUAAAGCGGGUGAAAAGCCCGCUCGCCGGAAGACCAAGGGUUCCUGUCCAACGUUAAUCGGGGCAGGGUGAGUCGACCCCUAAGGCGAGGCCGAAAGGCGUAGUCGAUGGGAAACAGGUUAAUAUUCCUGUACUUGGUGUUACUGCGAAGGGGGGACGGAGAAGGCUAUGUUGGCCGGGCGACGGUUGUCCCGGUUUAAGCGUGUAGGCUGGUUUUCCAGGCAAAUCCGGAAAAUCAAGGCUGAGGCGUGAUGACGAGGCACUACGGUGCUGAAGCAACAAAUGCCCUGCUUCCAGGAAAAGCCUCUAAGCAUCAGGUAACAUCAAAUCGUACCCCAAACCGACACAGGUGGUCAGGUAGAGAAUACCAAGGCGCUUGAGAGAACUCGGGUGAAGGAACUAGGCAAAAUGGUGCCGUAACUUCGGGAGAAGGCACGCUGAUAUGUAGGUGAAGCGACUUGCUCGUGGAGCUGAAAUCAGUCGAAGAUACCAGCUGGCUGCAACUGUUUAUUAAAAACACAGCACUGUGCAAACACGAAAGUGGACGUAUACGGUGUGACGCCUGCCCGGUGCCGGAAGGUUAAUUGAUGGGGUCAGCGCAAGCGAAGCUCUUGAUCGAAGCCCCGGUAAACGGCGGCCGUAACUAUAACGGUCCUAAGGUAGCGAAAUUCCUUGUCGGGUAAGUUCCGACCUGCACGAAUGGCGUAAUGAUGGCCAGGCUGUCUCCACCCGAGACUCAGUGAAAUUGAACUCGCUGUGAAGAUGCAGUGUACCCGCGGCAAGACGGAAAGACCCCGUGAACCUUUACUAUAGCUUGACACUGAACAUUGAGCCUUGAUGUGUAGGAUAGGUGGGAGGCUUUGAAGUGUGGACGCCAGUCUGCAUGGAGCCGACCUUGAAAUACCACCCUUUAAUGUUUGAUGUUCUAACGUGGACCCGUGAUCCGGGUUGCGGACAGUGUCUGGUGGGUAGUUUGACUGGGGCGGUCUCCUCCUAAAGAGUAACGGAGGAGCACGAAGGUUGGCUAAUCCUGGUCGGACAUCAGGAGGUUAGUGCAAUGGCAUAAGCCAGCUUGACUGCGAGCGUGACGGCGCGAGCAGGUGCGAAAGCAGGUCAUAGUGAUCCGGUGGUUCUGAAUGGAAGGGCCAUCGCUCAACGGAUAAAAGGUACUCCGGGGAUAACAGGCUGAUACCGCCCAAGAGUUCAUAUCGACGGCGGUGUUUGGCACCUCGAUGUCGGCUCAUCACAUCCUGGGGCUGAAGUAGGUCCCAAGGGUAUGGCUGUUCGCCAUUUAAAGUGGUACGCGAGCUGGGUUUAGAACGUCGUGAGACAGUUCGGUCCCUAUCUGCCGUGGGCGCUGGAGAACUGAGGGGGGCUGCUCCUAGUACGAGAGGACCGGAGUGGACGCAUCACUGGUGUUCGGGUUGUCAUGCCAAUGGCACUGCCCGGUAGCUAAAUGCGGAAGAGAUAAGUGCUGAAAGCAUCUAAGCACGAAACUUGCCCCGAGAUGAGUUCUCCCUGACUCCUUGAGAGUCCUGAAGGAACGUUGAAGACGACGACGUUGAUAGGCCGGGUGUGUAAGCGCAGCGAUGCGUUGAGCUAACCGGUACUAAUGAACCGUGAGGCUUAACCUUACAACGCCGAAGCUGUU
RNAcentral lists this ribosomal RNA (2930 nucleotides) under Escherichia coli. Its description in RNAcentral is "bacterial LSU rRNA". It matches the Rfam family "Bacterial large subunit ribosomal RNA". The record is from RNAcentral. Lineage: Bacteria; Pseudomonadati; Pseudomonadota; Gammaproteobacteria; Enterobacterales; Enterobacteriaceae.